UUAACGUUGGCGGUGCGUCUAAUACAUGCAAGUCGAGCGCUACUUCGGUAGAGCGGCGAACGGGUGUGUAACACGUUGGAACCUGCCUCGAACUCAGGGAUAACAUCGAGAAAUCGGUGCUAAUACCGGAUAGUCCCGCAAGGGUAAAGAUUUUUCGGUUCGAGAGGGGCCUGCGUCCUAUUAGCUAGUUGGUGAGGUAAUGGCUUACCAAGGCGAUGAUGGGUAGCUGGUCUGAGAGGAUGAUCAGUCACAGGGGAACUGAGACACGGUCCCCACUCC
Molecule: ribosomal RNA, 279 nt
Filed under: unidentified marine bacterioplankton
Lineage: Bacteria
Description: partial 16S ribosomal RNA
Rfam family: Bacterial small subunit ribosomal RNA
Source: RNAcentral